RNAcentral lists this unclassified non-coding RNA (288 nucleotides) under uncultured fungus. RNAcentral's name for it is "partial contains small subunit ribosomal RNA, internal transcribed spacer 1, and 5.8S ribosomal RNA". The stretch from base 1 to 73 matches the Rfam family "Eukaryotic small subunit ribosomal RNA", at positions 1759 to 1831 of the family's 1831-position model. Lineage: Eukaryota; Fungi. The record is from RNAcentral.
ACAAACUUGGUCAUUUAGAGGAAGUAAAAGUCGUAACAAGGUUUCCGUAGGUGAACCUGCGGAAGGAUCAUUACUAAUUAUCCACAACACUAUGGAUAAUUUAUCCAUAUCCACCUUGUGUGAAUCAUAGAACUGUUGUUGGCAGGUUUAAGGCGUGCGUCCUCGGCCUGCCAAUUUCAUUUGUUUAAACAUGUCUAAACACUAGCAGUCUGAAACAUAUAUACUUAUAUAAUAAAUACAACUUUCAACAACGGAUCUCUUGGCUCUCGCAUCGAUGAAGAACGCAGC